UACAGAGGGUGCAAGCGUUACUCGGAAUUACUGGGCGUAAAGCGUGCGUAGACGGUUAUUUAAGUCAGGUGUGAAAGCCCCGGGCUCAACCUGGGAAUUGCAUUUGAGACUGAAUAGCUAGGGUGCGGAAGAGGGAAGCGGAAUUUCCGGUGUAGCGGUGAAAUGCGUAGAUAUCGGAAGGAACACCAGUGGCGAAAGCGGCUUCCUGGUCCAGCACCGACGUUCAGGCACGAAAGCGUGGGGAGCAAACAGG
RNAcentral lists this ribosomal RNA (253 nucleotides) under uncultured bacterium. RNAcentral's name for it is "partial 16S ribosomal RNA". It matches the Rfam family "Bacterial small subunit ribosomal RNA", at positions 524 to 776 of the family's 1533-position model. The record is from RNAcentral.